This 518-nucleotide ribosomal RNA is filed under the name uncultured bacterium. Its description in RNAcentral is "bacterial SSU rRNA". It matches the Rfam family "Bacterial small subunit ribosomal RNA", at positions 8 to 518 of the family's 1533-position model. The record is from RNAcentral.
AGAGUUUGAUCAUGGCUCAGGAUGAACGCUAGCGGCAGGCUUAACACAUGCAAGUCGAGGGGCAGCGGGAUGUAGCAAUACAUUGCCGGCGACCGGCGGAUGGGUGCGUAACGCGUAUACAACCUACCUUAUACAGGGGAAUAACCUUUCGAAAGGGAGACUAACACCCCAUAGUAUUGAUUUAAGGCAUCUUAGAUUAAUUAAAUAUUUAUAGGUAUAAGAUGGGCAUGCGUAUGAUUAGCUAGUUGGUAAGGUAACGGCUUACCAAGGCGACGAUCAUUAGGGGUUCUGAGAGGAAGGUCCCCCACACUGGUACUGAGACACGGACCAGACUCCUACGGGAGGCAGCAGUGAGGAAUAUUGGUCAAUGGGCGCAAGCCUGAACCAGCCAUGCCGCGUGCAGGAAAGACGGCCUUAUGGGUUGUAAACUGCUUUUACAUAAGACUAACCGUAUAUUUGCGAAUAUACCUGAAUGUAUUAUGAGAAUAAGGAUCGGCUAACUCCGUGCCAGCCGCUGC